CCUACGGGUGGCUGCAGUGGGGAAUUUUGGACAAUGGGCGAAAGCCUGAUCCAGCCAUUCCGCGUGAGUGAAGAAGGCCUUCGGGUUGUAAAGCUCUUUCGGCAGGAACGAAACGGUGAGAGCUAAUAUCUCAUUACUAAUGACGGUACCUGAAGAAGAAGCACCGGCUAACUACGUGCCAGCAGCCGCGGUAAUACGUAGGGUAUGAGCGUUAAUCGGGAGUGCUGGGCGUAAAGCGCAAGUCGGCGGUGAAAGCCCCGGGCUUAACCUGGGAACGGCAUUUGAAACUAGGUCGCUAGAGUAUGGCAGAGGGGGGUAGAAUUCCACGUGUAGCAGUGAAAUGCGUAGAGAUGUGGAGGAAUACCGAUGGCGAAGGCAGCCCCCUGGGUCAAUACUGACGCUCAUGCACGAAAGCGUGGGGAGCAAACAGGAUUAGAUACCCCAGUAGUC
RNAcentral lists this ribosomal RNA (450 nucleotides) under uncultured bacterium. RNAcentral describes it as "partial 16S ribosomal RNA". It matches the Rfam family "Bacterial small subunit ribosomal RNA", at positions 338 to 795 of the family's 1533-position model. The record is from RNAcentral.